UGGCUCAGAUGGUAAAGCAUUCGCCUGCAAUGCGGGAGACCCAGGUUCGAUCCCUGG
This 57-nucleotide transfer RNA is filed under the name Bos taurus (domestic cattle). It matches the Rfam family "tRNA", at positions 8 to 63 of the family's 71-position model. Rfam says of the family: Transfer RNA (tRNA) molecules are approximately 80 nucleotides in length. Their secondary structure includes four short double-helical elements and three loops (D, anti-codon, and T loops). RNAcentral also lists the same sequence under 4 other names. Lineage: Eukaryota; Metazoa; Chordata; Mammalia; Artiodactyla; Bovidae. The record is from Rfam by way of RNAcentral.